GUUAACCGAAAGGUUGGUGGUUCGUGCCCA
Molecule: non-coding RNA, 30 nt
Filed under: Homo sapiens (human)
Lineage: Eukaryota; Metazoa; Chordata; Mammalia; Primates; Hominidae
Also listed under: 1 other name
Source: RNAcentral